RNAcentral lists this ribosomal RNA (492 nucleotides) under uncultured bacterium. Its description in RNAcentral is "partial 16S ribosomal RNA". It matches the Rfam family "Bacterial small subunit ribosomal RNA", at positions 29 to 507 of the family's 1533-position model. The record is from RNAcentral.
AUUGAACGCUGGCGGCAUGCUUUACACAUGCAAGUCGAACGGCAACAGGCCUUCGGGUGCUGACGAGUGGCGAACGGGUGAGUAAUGCAUCGGAACGUACCCAGAGGUGGGGGAUAACGCAGCGAAAGCUGUGCUAAUACCGCAUGUGAUCUGAGGAUGAAAGCGGGGGACCGAGCAGCAAUGUUUGGCCUCGCGCCUUUGGAGCGGCCGAUGUCGGAUUAGCUAGUUGGUGGGGUAAAGGCCUACCAAGGCGACGAUCCGUAGCUGGUCUGAGAGGACGACCAGCCACACUGGGACUGAGACACGGCCCAGACUCCUACGGGAGGCAGCAGUGGGGAAUUUUGGACAAUGGGCGCAAGCCUGAUCCAGCAAUGCCGCGUGCGGGAAGAAGGCCUUCGGGUUGUAAACCGCUUUUGGCGGGAACGAAACGGUGUCCGCUAAUACCGGGCGCUAAUGACGGUACCUGCAGAAUAAGCACCGGCUAACUACGUG